ACUCCUACGGGAGGCAGCAGUGGGGAAUAUUGGACAAUGGGGGCAACCCUGAUCCAGCCAUGCCGCGUGUGUGAAGAAGGCCUUUUGGUUGUAAAGCACUUUAAGCAGUGAAGAAGACUCCGUGGUUAAUACCCACGGACGAUGACAUUAGCUGCAGAAUAAGCACCGGCUAACUCUGUGCCAGCAGCCGCGGUAAUACAGAGGGUGCAAGCGUUAAUCGGAAUUACUGGGCGUAAAGCGAGCGUAGGUGGCUUGAUAAGUCAGAUGUGAAAUCCCCGGGCUUAACCUGGGAACUGCAUCUGAUACUGUUAGGCUAGAAUAGGUGAGAGGAAGGUAGAAUUCCAGGUGUAGCGGUGAAAUGCGUAGAGAUCUGGAGGAAUACCGAUGGCGAAGGCAGCCUUCUGGCAUCAUAUUGACACUGAGGUUCGAAAGCGUGGGUAGCAAACAGGAUUAGAUACCCUGGUAGUC
This 468-nucleotide ribosomal RNA is filed under the name uncultured bacterium. Its description in RNAcentral is "bacterial SSU rRNA". It matches the Rfam family "Bacterial small subunit ribosomal RNA", at positions 335 to 795 of the family's 1533-position model. The record is from RNAcentral.